Molecule: long non-coding RNA, 917 nt
Filed under: Medicago truncatula (barrel medic)
Lineage: Eukaryota; Viridiplantae; Streptophyta; Magnoliopsida; Fabales; Fabaceae
Description: long non-coding RNA (MTRU_LNC000444)
Source: RNAcentral
UAUGAUAUUGAUUACGAUGUUAUGAUGACUGUUUAUGGUGUUGAAUAUGAGGUUGUUAUGAUGUUACAUGAUGAUGAUUAUGAAUGUUGUGAUGAUGAUUAUGUGAUGUUAUCUAUGAGUUGUUAAAUGUACUUGAUGAUGGUUAUGUUAAGUUGAUAAGUUGUCUUUUAUUCAUGAAUUGCUAAUGGAAUGUUUGAUGAAUAAUUAUUAUUAUGAAAUGAUGAUGUUACAUAUAGUUGCUAAGUUGUCCUCUAUUCAUGAGUUGUUAAUAAGGUGCUAGGUGGAGAAUGUUAACAUGAAUUAAUGAUGUUGUUAUGUUGUAUAUGAACUAUGAAUAUGAUGUUGUUACGUUGUUUAGGUCAUUGAUUAUGAAGUUGUCAUGUUGUAUACGAAUUAUGAGUAUGAUGUUAUAUGAUUAUGAUUAAGAUGUUAAUUAUGAAGUUAAAUGAUGCUGUUAUGAUGUUGUUUAUGAUAUCGAGUUAUGACUGUUGAUAUGAUGAGUAUAUGAUAUGGUUUAGGAGUCGUUAAAAGAAUUACUAUUACUAAUUGAUGAAGUUUAAGUUGUUAGAUGCAUUUGAUGAAUUAUAUAUUAUUAUUAUUGAUUGUGAAUCUCACCCCUUCUGCUUGAAAAUGUUGCUCUUCGUAUGAGUAACUUGCAGGUGAUCGAGAGUAGGUUGCUGUGUUUUUGCUGUCGUGAGUGGCUAUCCCUCACUGAGUCGUUUAGGUGCUCUGAUACGUAACGGGAUGGGAACUUUGUUGCAUGCUUUUCUAUUCCUUACGUAUUGUUUAUAAAUUUACAUGAUUAAGUUGUUAAUUGGAUUUUUAUGAGAUGUUUUGAUGAGGCCUUCGUGCCAAGACUUUUUAUGUUAAUGAAUUUAAUCCGCUGCAAAGUUUGAAUUAAUAUGUUGAAGGAUAAA